This is a long non-coding RNA of Mauremys mutica (yellowpond turtle), 358 nucleotides long. RefSeq lists it as uncharacterized. The transcript has 3 exons. NCBI's taxonomy places the organism in Eukaryota, Metazoa, Chordata, Testudines, Geoemydidae. The record is from RefSeq and is a predicted model, not a curated record.
ACCUAGAAGAAGAAAGCUGGCUGGAGAUGGAGAGAGACUCCACGAUUCAAAGGAGAGGCCAUAUAUUGGAGGGGGCAGAUCCUAGACACCCUAGAGGACUCUGACCAAAUCCCCAAAAUGCUUCAGAAUGGAAACCUAAUGGGAAAACUGUGCACUGUCAGUAACUUGGGGAUAUAUUUCUGAAUAAAAUGUACUGAUUGCAUUUAAGUCAAGCAGAAAAAGAAAGAGAUUAGAGAAACCACACAUAUUUCUUCCAUCAGAACCCUGAAAGAUCUUCCAUGAAAAGUACAGACAUUCUUUUCAUAGAUGUUUAAAUCAUUUUUUUAAAAGAAACCAAACACAUCAUUUCUGAGAUGAC